Molecule: ribosomal RNA, 296 nt
Filed under: Bacillus sp. KP3.2
Lineage: Bacteria; Bacillati; Bacillota; Bacilli; Caryophanales; Bacillaceae
Description: partial 16S ribosomal RNA
Rfam family: Bacterial small subunit ribosomal RNA
Source: RNAcentral
AGCUUGCUUCUAUGACGUUAGCGGCGGACGGGUGAGUAACACGUGGGCAACCUGCCUGUAAGACUGGGAUAACUUCGGGAAACCGAAGCUAAUACCGGAUAGGAUCUUCUCCUUCAUGGGAGAUGAUUGAAAGAUGGUUUCGGCUAUCACUUACAGAUGGGCCCGCGGUGCAUUAGCUAGUUGGUGAGGUAACGGCUCACCAAGGCAACGAUGCAUAGCCGACCUGAGAGGGUGAUCGGCCACACUGGGACUGAGACACGGCCCAGACUCCUACGGGAGGCAGCAGUGGUCAUAGC